Molecule: ribosomal RNA, 180 nt
Filed under: uncultured bacterium
Lineage: Bacteria
Description: partial 16S ribosomal RNA
Rfam family: Bacterial small subunit ribosomal RNA
Source: RNAcentral
GCUGAAACUCGCCUCUUUGAAGUCGGAAUCGCUAGUAAUCGCAGAUCAGCAUGUUGCGGUGAAUACGUUCCCGGGUCUUGUACACACCGCCCGUCAAACCAUGAGAGUCGCCAACACCCGAAGUCCACCUAGUGGCCUAAGGUGGGGGAGAUGAUUGGGGUUAAGUCGUAACAAGGUACC